CGCUGGCGGCGUGCCUAACACAUGCAAGUCGUGCGAGAAGUUCCUUCGGGAGCGAGUAAAGCGGCGCACGGGUGAGUAACACGUAGGUAACCUGCCCCCCAGUCUGGAACAACUAGAGGAAACUCUAGCUAAUGCCGGAUGAGACCACGAUCCCUUCGGGGGUUGCGGCCAAAGAUGGCCUCUACUUGUAAGCUAUCGCUGAGGGAUGGGCCUGCGGGCCAUUAGCUUGUUGGUGAGGUAACGGCUCACCAAGGCUGUGAUGGCUAGCUGGUCUGAGAGGAUGACCAGCCACACUGGGACUGAGACACGGCCCAGACUCCUACGGGAGGCAGCAGUGGGGAAUAUUGCGCAAUGGGCGAAAGCCUGACGCAGCGACGCCGCGUGGGUGAUGAAGGCCUUCGGGUCGUAAAGCCCUGUCGCAGGGGAAGAAUAAGCAUCGGUAUAAUACGCCGGUGCCCUGACGGUACCCUGCAAGAAAGCACCGGCUAACUCCGUG
RNAcentral lists this ribosomal RNA (496 nucleotides) under uncultured bacterium. RNAcentral's name for it is "bacterial SSU rRNA". It matches the Rfam family "Bacterial small subunit ribosomal RNA", at positions 34 to 507 of the family's 1533-position model. The record is from RNAcentral.